GAUGAACGCUGGCGGCGUGCCUAAUACAUGCAAGUCGAGCGAACGGACGAGAAGCUUGCUUCUCUGAUGUUAGCGGCGGACGGGUGAGUAACACGUGGAUAACCUACCUAUAAGACUGGGAUAACUUCGGGAAACCGGAGCUAAUACCGGAUAAUAUUUUGAACCGCAUGGUUGAAAAGUGAAAGACGGUCUUGCUGUCACUUAUAGAUGGAUCCGCGCUGCAUUAGCUAGUUGGUAAGGUAACGGCUUACCAAGGCAACGAUGCAUAGCCGACCUGAGAGGGUGAUCGGCCACACUGGAACUGAGACACGCUCCAGACUCCUACGGGAGGCAGCAGUAGGGAAUCUUCCGCAAUGGGCGAAAGCCUGACGGAGCAACGCCGCGUGAGUGAUGAAGGUCUUCGGAUCGUAAAACUCUGUUAUUAGGGAAGAACAUAUGUGUAAGUAACUGUGCACAUCUUGACGGUACCUAAUCAGAAAGCCACGGCUAACUACGUG
This 497-nucleotide ribosomal RNA is filed under the name uncultured bacterium. RNAcentral describes it as "partial 16S ribosomal RNA". It matches the Rfam family "Bacterial small subunit ribosomal RNA", at positions 28 to 507 of the family's 1533-position model. The record is from RNAcentral.